Molecule: long non-coding RNA, 319 nt
Organism: Thunnus maccoyii (southern bluefin tuna)
Lineage: Eukaryota; Metazoa; Chordata; Actinopteri; Scombriformes; Scombridae
Exons: 3
Source: RefSeq, a predicted model, not a curated record
GCUGCACCAGUAUGCACUAUGACUGUCGUAGUGGAGACUUAAAAUGCUUACACAAUCAAUUAUUGAGUGUUUUACAUUUAUACGUUGUUUAAACCCAUUUUUAGAGAUUUUCUCUCCAUUGAUCAGUUUCAAAAUAGACUGUUAAAACAUCCACUGGGAUUCAGAGGUGUAAAAGUAAAUAUGAAAAAGUCAAGAGGAGAUGCUGAAUGGAGUUCGUCUCUUCGUACCUGAAGUUGAUCACCUCCAGGGUCUGCCGUGGGUGUUUAUCGGAGACAUAGGGCAUGCGUGCAGGCUGGGGGACCCCUUCAGGGAGCUUGUU